Molecule: non-coding RNA, 2691 nt
Organism: Pantherophis guttatus
Lineage: Eukaryota; Metazoa; Chordata; Lepidosauria; Squamata; Colubridae
Source: RefSeq, a predicted model, not a curated record
AUUUCGGGUGUUGGGUGGAGCUUCGUUUUAAACUUGGCGACCUUCUCCCGUUUUCUUACCUCUCUGGGUCGGUAAAGUGAGCGGGGUGGAGGCUGCUGAGACGGAGUGCAAUGUCUGGCUUCCUAAUUGGGGAACGUUACAGGUCGUUUCAGGUUUUCUCACCUGAAGUAAAGAUGGUGAGUGUGGGGGUAGGUACAAGGUCCGACUGGGUGAGAAAAUCCUGUCCAGGAUCUGGAACUUAUAUAGAGACAGAUGAGGCUGUCUUGCGAAGAAGGCAAAAGCAGAUAGAUUAUGGGAAAAAUACCAUUGGUUACCAGCACUUUGUCCAACAGGUUCCCAAGAUGGCUCGUCAGUCAGGUAUUCAUCCCUGUACUCCAAAUAAAUAUAAAAAGUACAGUCGUCGUUCGUGGGACAUGCAGAUUAAGCUUUGGCGAAGGGCACUUCAUGGUUGGGAUCCACCUGGACAUGAGAGGGAAGUAUUUCUAAUAAUAAAAAUGCUGCCCAACUCUCAACAAAUCUGAAUGACUCACAAUAAUCAAAUAAACAACAAAAACAAAAAUUACAAUAAAAGCAAUUAAAGCUAAAAGAUGGCAAAUGCAAUGAAGCAAGCAGUGUUACUCCCCUUCACCAAAGGCCUGGAUGAAAAGUUUUUCAGGCUCUUCUAAACCAGAGUGGGGGCCAUCCAGAUCUUGGGAUCCUUGUUCCAGGGAGCAUCUUAAUUGAAUUGGUGAAGCCGAUGCUAUGGGAGGCAGGCAGUCCCUCAAGUAACCAGCUCUAUGCCUUUAAGUAUACAUAACAACAAGCACCUUGUAUCAAACCGAGUUGCAAACUGGCAACUAGUGCAGCUUGCAAAGUAGAGAUAUUAUAUGGGCAGAUAGAGGCAUGCUUCAUUCUGGACCAAUUGGAGCUUUUGAGUGGUUUUCAAGGGCAGUCUCAUGUACAGUGUGUUGUGGAAGUCAAAUCACAAGGUGACAUGAGUAUAAAUGAUUGUCUGAAGGACCCCCUAAUCUAGGAAACAGUGUAAGGGGCACACUAGAUGGAGUUGUGCAAAAAUCUUUCUGGCCACAGCUAACACUUGUUCAUUAAGUAGGAGCUAUGAGUCCAGGAAGACCCUUAGAUUCCUAAUUAUGCUUACUUGGCUUGAGCAGAAAUUUGUAAAAGUAAAUUAAGAGACACCCAACCAUAUACUUCUCCGGUCAGAUAUUUUGCUAUCAGAAACCUAUUAAUAAAAUCCAUCGUUUGGCAGGUUCACUUUUAAACACAAUUCUAUAUUGUAAAUAGCCACCUUUAUUGUGCAAUAUUUACUGCCAGCACCUGGUGAGCCACUUAUAAAGUAAUGCUCCCACACUAUUCAGGAAUUGCAGGCCUAGUCUCCAGUCCAUAUGCACUCUCCUUGGUAUUCCUUAUCACCAUGGAGACAGAGUUAAUUGUCAACAGAGUUGUCAUGCUCUUCAGUGAGAGCAAAUGAUUCUGGUGCCCAUCAGAGGCUGGGAGUAUUUUGCACUAUAUUAAGGUGGAAAAUGAGAAGGGUCACAUAUAUGAGAAAAGAAGGAAGAAGUGAGUAAAACACCAUUUUAUAUUUUCAUUCCAUUAAUUUCCAUGGGUUGCCUAUAUAUUGGCUACCAUUCUGUGGCAGAAGGUAGAAGCAUUUAGGCUGACACAUUCAACUACUCCUAUUCCAUUUUUCCAAUGGGUUUUUAUUUGCAUUCUAAGAUAGGAUUCUAAGAUAGGAGUAUGGAACAUUUUGUGGGUUUAAGACUGAAUUUCCGAAAAAUGUUUUGAAGGGCCACAUGGCAAUUGGCAAGGGAACAGUCCAAAGUGACUGGGUCACCCUCUUUUCUCUCUGGGCUCUAAAUGAGUUGUCAGCAAAAACCUAGACAGCUUUUUCUGGAGGUCUAAACCAACUGUUAAGAUAGACAACUGCAGAUUGCUUUUUUCCAGUUUAGGCUUUAAAGCUAUUUAAUGCAUUUGCUGCCUGGCUUAGUAUGAACAACCUGCUCUGUUUUGCAAGGCAGGAGCUGGUGACCAAAAUGGAUCUUUGGUCUAAUUUCCCAAAUGACUGGUUUGAUGCUCAGUGUAUUCAGGAAAAUAUUUGUGAAGAAGUCCUAGGAGAACAGAUUUCUGGAUUGUCCUCUUCUGGCCAUUUAUAUCCGCUGCUUCAGGAUACACUCUCCAACAUGGAACAUAUCAAGGAAGAUGCUGAAGACUGUCCAUUUGACUCCUGGCUCUUGUUUUCUUCUUAUGGGAUCCCAACGCAGUCAGUGAUCUAAAAGAGAAGACUUAGAGCUUCUCAAGGAUUUCAAGGAUUAUUUUUUUGGCCACUGUGGUCCACCUGUAUUGUCACUCAAUUUGCUACAAAGUCCAUUAUUUUAUAACAAGAUUAUCUUCCAUUUCUAUAUUUGAUAGCUUUCUAUGUAGAGUAAUUGUUAUUUAGCUAGAACACAAAGCAUUUCCUAUUGACUCUCCAUUAUUCAUAUUCCUAUUAUAAGUGUACAAAGCAAUUGAUGAUUGCUACUAAAGCAUUAUGGCUUGUUAGUUGCAGUAAGAAAAUUGAGAAUCAAAGUUCUGAACUAUGUACAGGUAAUUAAAUUGCUCUGAGCUUAUGUUCUGUCACUUGGGUUGUUAUUGGUUAAUUCCUGUCUGCUUCACACAUGCCCUGUAGUUGGAUAAAAUAACAUAUUUUGUAUUUGA